Molecule: non-coding RNA, 1099 nt
Organism: Schizosaccharomyces pombe (fission yeast)
Lineage: Eukaryota; Fungi; Ascomycota; Schizosaccharomycetes; Schizosaccharomycetales; Schizosaccharomycetaceae
Source: the annotation of a GenBank genome assembly
ACGGGCUUUAAAUUAGCGACAACAAUAACUUUGCGUUGCUGCAUUUGUUCCAAUGGAAUGUACUUAACUAAACCACUGCAAACAGUUCUUGGUCCCUCAGCAUCACCACAAUGUAUGGUAGAAACGUACAAACUGUCAGCAUUGGGAUGUUUGACUGCCUUCUCAAUAAAGCCAAUGCGGAAAUCAAUCAUGGAAGGGACAGGAGUAGCAGCUUUAGGAGGUUCCUUGGGAGCCUUCUCCUUUUUAUCUUUUUUAUCUUUUUUGUCUUUCUUUUCCUUCUUAUUUUGCUUCUCCUUUUUAGCACCUUCUAAACCUUUAGGAGCCUUCUCGACGGAUUUAACUGAGGCUUCCUGAGAAGGCUUUCCUUCCUUUUUCUCCUUCUUAUCCUUUUUAAUUACAGAAGGACGUUGAAUCUUAGGAGCAUUCAAAUCGAUGUUUGCCAACUUCAUCGACAUACUAUUAGCAGCUUCCAUAACACUUUCCUGAUGUUGAAUAAAAUCAAACCAUCUACAAACAUUGUUAAGCUUGUAUCCCUCCUUCGCAGAUAAUCCACAUAUGUAAGAAUGAAUACGAGCAUAUACAGCAAGAUCAGCAACACUUAUACCAGAAUCCUGAGCAAUGAAAGUAGAAGACUUUAAAAACUCAUCUAGCUGUUCAACGAUCGAUUGGGUUUCUAUGGGUGAAAAUGCCUUGGUAGUCCACUCCAAAAUUUGAGCCUUCUCGAAAUCAGUGUUUCCUAAAAGCUCGGGCUUCUGCUCAGACACAGCUUUGAACAAACUGCUCACUGGACCUUCUUUAGUUUCUGGGAUAGAAAUUUGUAAAUAUUUGGAAAUAAACUUCAGUUCCGUGGACAUUGUACCUGAAACUGUGGGUUGGUGGUGAGAAAAAGUUAACUUAGCAUAGAACUGUGGACUACGGAUAUUAUUCAAUGUCACCGUCUCAAAUCGAAGUAGAUAACUAAAUUUAUGAGUAAUGAAUAGUUUAUAUGGGUAUUUUAAUACGCAAAAUUCUUUUGCCCAGAGAAAACUCAUUCUGCGGUAGAAGUACAGAUGAAAAGAUAUGCAAUUCGAAUAAACGAAAACGUUAAGUUGUAUGGUUC